CAGCACUUUGAACAGCAAUGCUCAUCAUAUAAACGUGAGGUUUCCUCCAAAAGGAAUUAUGACUCAUGCUUUGAGGAAACAGUAGAGGUCAGACAGCAAGCCCAGAAAAACCUGCCAGCACCAAGAGGGAAUCCUCAACAAGCGCCUGGGGGACAUAUUAUUCUAACUGAAGGGACCAGAACUUCCCCAGGAAGGGAAGAAGAGAGAAAUGCGGAAUGCCUGUGUUCGCAUUUGCCAAAAAACAAAAGUCUGAGAAACCUCUGAGAGACUCCACAUGGGAAGUGAAAUUUACCUUUUCUAAGACCAUUGUUGAUUUUCCCUUUACCCUUGAAGUGAACUGAAAUAUCACUAAUGGUCAGAGGAAAGCUCAGAGGUUCUAAUAAAGAAUAUGAAAUAG
This is a non-coding RNA of Saimiri boliviensis boliviensis (Bolivian squirrel monkey), 397 nucleotides long. Lineage: Eukaryota; Metazoa; Chordata; Mammalia; Primates; Cebidae. The record is from RefSeq and is a predicted model, not a curated record.